CCUCUGACCGGCCGGAUAUAAUAUUGCCCAUGUCGUUAUCCGUUUCGAGCAAAUACCUUGGAAUCGACCUUAAAACGUUCACGUUAUAGAAUAUUCGGAUAUUCGAACGCGGUUUUUUCCCUGGCAAUAUCGUAAACGACAUGCUAAGCCCCGUCGCGGUUUUCCGCCUGCCGGGAUUUUAGGUUUUGUCUAUUAUCGUUAUAGCGUUGAACUUAUAGCGUUAUCGAGUUAUUAGUAUAUA
Non-coding RNA from Cinara cedri, 241 nucleotides. Lineage: Eukaryota; Metazoa; Arthropoda; Insecta; Hemiptera; Aphididae. The record is from the annotation of a GenBank genome assembly.